This 850-nucleotide ribosomal RNA is filed under the name uncultured bacterium. Its description in RNAcentral is "bacterial SSU rRNA". It matches the Rfam family "Bacterial small subunit ribosomal RNA", at positions 36 to 879 of the family's 1533-position model. The record is from RNAcentral.
CGGGGCGGGGGUGCCUAUACAUGCAAGUCGAACGGAGAUAUUCGCUGAUGAAGUACUUCGGUAAUGAAUCUUGGAUAUCUUAGUGGCGGACGGGUGAGUAACGCGUGAGCAACCUGCCUUUCAGAGGGGGAUAACGUUUGGAAACGAACGCUAAUACCGCAUGACAUUAUCUUAUCGCAUGGUAGGAUAAUCAAAGGAGCAAUCCGCUGAAAGAUGGGCUCGCGUCCGAUUAGGUAGUUGGUGGGGUAACGGCCCACCAAGCCGACGAUCGGUAGCCGGACUGAGAGGUUGGACGGCCACAUUGGGACUGAGACACGGCCCAGACUCCUACGGGAGGCAGCAGUAAGGGAUAUUGGUCAAUGGGGGAAACCCUGAACCAGCAACGCCGCGUGAGGGAAGACGGUUUUCGGAUUGUAAACCUCUGUCCUCUGUGAAGAUGAUGACGGUAGCAGAGGAGGAAGCUCCGGCUAACUACGUGCCAGCAGCCGCGGUAAUACGUAGGGAGCGAGCGUUGUCCGGAUUUACUGGGUGUAAAGGGUGCGUAGGCGGCUUGGUAAGUCAGUAGUGAAAUCCAUGGGCUUAACCCAUGAACUGCUAUUGAAACUGUCGAGCUUGAGUGAAGUAGAGGUAGGCGGAAUUCCCGGUGUAGCGGUGAAAUGCGUAGAGAUCGGGAGGAACACCAGUGGCGAAGGCGGCCUACUGGGCUUUAACUGACGCUGAGGCACGAAAGCGUGGGUAGCAAACAGGAUUAGAUACCCUGGUAGUCCACGCUGUAAACGAUGAUUACUAGGUGUGGGUGGACUGACCCCAUCCGUGCCGGAGUUAACACAAUAAGUAAUCCACCUGNGGA